Pelobates cultripes (western spadefoot toad) is the source of this 494-nucleotide non-coding RNA. Lineage: Eukaryota; Metazoa; Chordata; Amphibia; Anura; Pelobatidae. The record is from the annotation of a GenBank genome assembly.
CACAGAUUAAGCAGUGGGACAGAGUGGGCAGUUAGACACAGAUUAAGCAGUGGGACAGAGUGCUCAGUUAGACACAGAUUAAGCAGUGGGACAGAGUGCUCAGUUAGACACAGAUUAAGCAGUGGGACAGAGUGGGCAGUUAGACACAGAUUAAGCAGUGGGACAGAGUGCUCAAUUAGACACAGAUUAAGCAGUGGGACAGAGUGCUCAAUUAGACACAGAUUAAGCAGUGGGACAGAGUGGGCAGUUAGACACAGAUUAAGCAGUGGGACAGAGUGCUCAGUUAGACACAGAUUAAGCAGUGGGACAGAGUGCUCAGUUAGACACAGAUUAAGCAGUGGGACAGAGUGCUCAGUUAGACACAGAUUAAGCAGUGGGACAGAGUGCUCAGUUAGACACAGAUUAAGCAGUGGGACAGAGUGCUCAGUUAGACACAGAUUAAGCAGUGGGACAGAGUGGGCAGUUAGACACAGAUUAAGCAGUGGGACAGAGUG